GGACCGCUGCCGCCAAGUGUUUUCGCUGGCACAAGUCCCUGUGGCUAGCCUUCCCCUUGAAGUCUGGCCAGCCUCUCUUGCCGUUAAUCCUGUCCGGGGCCCCCAUCUUAGUCUCUCUGCCGCCAUCUCCUUCUGCACUGCCGCCAUCUUACUACCUGCUUCCUCACUGCCGCCAUCUUACUUCCUUUUUUCUCUGCUGCCAUUUUAGUUCUUCUGCCACCAUUCGGCUGCCAUUUUAAUUCCCAUUAGUUCCCAUUUGUUCUUUUAACCCUGCCCAGCUAACUCCUUGGCUUCCAUCUUACCCGCAUUCUUAUUUCCACCUGCCUAUAGUGCCAUACCAGUCCACUGCAUCUACAACUCCUAACACAUUCGCUGCGGGCAGUGAUAUCCACUAAUCCUGGAUGAGGCAGCGGAGGGCCCCCAAACCCCUAUCCAGGACUUAGUAAAGCUGGCGUUCAAAGUUUUUAAUUCCUGAGAGGAGGCGGCUGAGGUACAACGACAGGCAAGCCUGAAACAAAAAGUUCAGCUCCAAACCCAAGCCCUGGCAGCUGCCCUGCAACCGGCAUUCCCUAAGAGCCGCGGCAGGAGAGGUAGAGGUACAAUCUCCCGGGCCCCGUCUGGCGUCUGCUUCAAGUGAGGCAACUCAGGACACUGGGCCAGCCGGUGCCCUAGCCAACAGCAACCGUCCUGCCCGCCUUGCAACUGUUUCAAGUGUGGCAAUCCAGGUCAUUGGGCAAAACAGUGCCCAAACCCCAAGCCGCCAACACACCCGUGCCCUAACUGCCAACAAAUGGAGCACUGGAGGUCAGACUGCCCCAGCCUCGGAGCGGCCGCUGUGGCUCCACAUGGCGACCCCUCCCUGGAUGGCGAAGGUGCCCUCUAGCUCCUCCAACUGGAUGACGACUGAAGAGGCCCAGGCUCGGGAACCCCUCUCACCCUUGCCGAGCCCAGGGUAAUGCUUCAGGUAGCGGUCAAACAGGUGACAACCACACUUGGCGUUAACUGGAAGCUACACACUCCAUACCAUCCGCAGUCUUCUGGAAAAGUGGAAUGCGCCAACGGCCUUGUCAAACAACACCUAAUCAAAUUGGCUCUCGAGAAGCGCCAAUCGUGGAUCAACUGAGAUGCAAAACCCAUGUUCACAUCAUGAGUGAGUCUUCUAACUCGGACAAUGCAAUCAACAAAUUCUAAGACCAAAUUCCGGUGGCACUGGCUCCAAAGCUCCUGAGUGUGGAAGGAGGUGAACAGGGAAAAGCAGAGAGGACAAAAGUCACAUCCCCUCCCCACAGACCCAUACUGGGGAAGGGUGGAAGAUUUAGCUGCGAGUCAAGUUCAGAAUUUUGAUUAACAUCUUGGCAUGCACAUUCGAAUUUCAGAAUCAAGACUGUUGGCCAUAAAAAAUGACUAUAGCCUUGUGUAUUACCUGAACUGAGCAGUAAAAAAAAAGUCAUGGUC
RNAcentral lists this long non-coding RNA (1455 nucleotides) under Homo sapiens (human). Its description in RNAcentral is "long intergenic non-protein coding RNA 1287". Lineage: Eukaryota; Metazoa; Chordata; Mammalia; Primates; Hominidae. The record is from RNAcentral.